RNAcentral lists this ribosomal RNA (253 nucleotides) under uncultured bacterium. RNAcentral's name for it is "partial 16S ribosomal RNA". It matches the Rfam family "Bacterial small subunit ribosomal RNA", at positions 524 to 776 of the family's 1533-position model. The record is from RNAcentral.
UACGAAGGGUGCAAGCGUUACUCGGAAUUACUGGGCGUAAAGCGUGCUUAGGCGGUUUGUUAAGUCUGUCGUGAAAGCCCCGGGCUCAACCUGGGAAUGGCGAUGGAAACUGGCGAGCUAGAGUACGGUAGAGGAGAGUGGAAUUCCCGGUGUAGCAGUGAAAUGCGUAGAGAUCGGGAGGAACAUCAGUUGCGAAGGCGGCUCUCUGGACCAGUACUGACGCUGAGGCACGAAAGCGUGGGGAGCAAACAGG